Long non-coding RNA from Toxotes jaculatrix (banded archerfish), 798 nucleotides. RefSeq lists it as uncharacterized. NCBI's taxonomy places the organism in Eukaryota, Metazoa, Chordata, Actinopteri, Toxotidae. The record is from RefSeq and is a predicted model, not a curated record. The transcript has 7 exons.
GUGACGGAUUGUCGGACCGGAAAUUCUCCCUCUUCUCCUGCAGAAGCCGGAGUGAGCAGACGUGCUCCCUUUCACGUCUCAACUGAACGAUGGGCUCCUCAAGAUUAACCUUCAAUACGAAGGAGUGCUGAUAAAGAUGGCUAAUUCCAGCUAUGACUGGCACACUUGAUACGAUGUCAGGCCACCACUGCAUAUUACAGACGGCCAAAUGCUGGUCCUAACAGCGUGGACCUUGAGCUGCUUCAGAUUAUAUGCUGUGGUGACAGGAAAUGCACCUGAUGUAAUCCUUACAGUCCCAUGCUGAUCAGGAGAUAAGCAUUUGCUGUAACGGAGCAAAAAGACAUGAAUGUCAGCUUCAUCACAUUCGUGGUUACACAGCAAGUUGACUGAUCAGACGUCUAUAGAAAAACGUCAUUUGAAAGGAAAGUGUUUCUGGAGCUGAUCGAUCACCAUUUGGCAGAGAUCUGUUAUUUGUUUUUGUUUUUUUGUUUUUUUUUUUUUUAAAUAAUAAAACUUGUCUAGAAGAAACAUGUCUUCCUCUUCUGAAUUUGUAUAUUUUUCUGUUAUGUGUUUUUAGAUGUUCUUUCUAAACAUGAACUGUAUUCAGAUUUUGAUCACCUAUCACCAGCAACCCUGUAAUCCCCAUUGCAUUAAAUUCAAGGUAUUUUUGUGCCUAUAUGGAUUUGAUGAGUCUAACAGUACUCACGGUCACUAUGAACAGACUUUAUAGUUAGUGUGAUCUGGUGCUGCCUACCUGUGUUUUUGGAUCUUUAGAGAAGUCUUACUCCUCUGUGAUGU